RNAcentral lists this ribosomal RNA (630 nucleotides) under Bradyrhizobium japonicum. RNAcentral describes it as "bacterial SSU rRNA". It matches the Rfam family "Bacterial small subunit ribosomal RNA", at positions 57 to 731 of the family's 1533-position model. Lineage: Bacteria; Pseudomonadati; Pseudomonadota; Alphaproteobacteria; Hyphomicrobiales; Nitrobacteraceae. The record is from RNAcentral.
GCAAGUCGAGCGGGCGUAGCAAUACGUCAGCGGCAGACGGGUGAGUAACGCGUGGGAACGUACCUUUUGGUUCGGAACAACACAGGGAAACUUGUGCUAAUACCGGAUAAGCCCUUACGGGGAAAGAUUUAUCGCCGAAAGAUCGGCCCGCGUCUGAUUAGCUAGUUGGUGAGGUAAUGGCUCACCAAGGCGACGAUCAGUAGCUGGUCUGAGAGGAUGAUCAGCCACAUUGGGACUGAGACACGGCCCAAACUCCUACGGGAGGCAGCAGUGGGGAAUAUUGGACAAUGGGGGCAACCCUGAUCCAGCCAUGCCGCGUGAGUGAUGAAGGCCCUAGGGUUGUAAAGCUCUUUUGUGCGGGAAGAUAAUGACGGUACCGCAAGAAUAAGCCCCGGCUAACUUCGUGCCAGCAGCCGCGGUAAUACGAAGGGGGCUAGCGUUGCUCGGAAUCACUGGGCGUAAAGGGUGCGUAGGCGGGUCUUUAAGUCAGGGGUGAAAUCCUGGAGCUCAACUCCAGAACUGCCUUUGAUACUGAGGAUCUUGAGUUCGGGAGAGGUGAGUGGAACUGCGAGUGUAGAGGUGAAAUUCGUAGAUAUUCGCAAGAACACCAGUGGCGAAGGCGGCUCACUG